UAGGCCGAAGUCCGCUGGAUUGGAUGUUUAGUUGUUAAUUAAUAUUUUUACGGGAUCGAGGCCCGUCGGCUUAG
RNAcentral lists this transfer RNA (74 nucleotides) under Cnemaspis perhentianensis. Its description in RNAcentral is "tRNA-Asn". Lineage: Eukaryota; Metazoa; Chordata; Lepidosauria; Squamata; Gekkonidae. The record is from RNAcentral.